GGCAAGAACUAAUAUUCCAGAUAACGAUAUUUAAUAUUAAACCUGAACAUCUCUGAAGAAUAAUUAUGACAUGUCCUUCUACGAAAUUUGAACAUUAAAUACGUGUGUUUGUUUGUUGAGUGCUUUACCCGCACGGCUAUUUUUAAACGGAUUUUAAAAGUUACUGGUUUUGACAUUUUCUCUAAAUCCAAUGACCAUUAAAUU
This 204-nucleotide long non-coding RNA is filed under the name Mytilus galloprovincialis (Mediterranean mussel). The record is from RNAcentral. Lineage: Eukaryota; Metazoa; Mollusca; Bivalvia; Mytilida; Mytilidae.